RNAcentral lists this unclassified non-coding RNA (8341 nucleotides) under Leishmania donovani. Its description in RNAcentral is "gene:LdHU3.24.0600(CDS-product:Kelch_motif/Galact ose_oxidase_central_domain_containing_protein_putative)". The record is from RNAcentral. Lineage: Eukaryota; Euglenozoa; Kinetoplastea; Trypanosomatida; Trypanosomatidae.
UAGGUUUUUCGUAUAGUCGUUUGACUGCUACCUCCAUCGCCCCCUCCCUCCGCCCCGCUUGCUUCCGCUCCGUGCCUUGCGUGUCUGCUGAUCGCUCACGCGCUCGCGCUUUCUCGCUCUUUGUUCACGUCAUCUAUUUAUCUUUCUAUCAUUCCGUUUCCCCCCGGCCGUCCUCCUCUCCCUCUUUCCCCGCGCACGCGUCUCACGUGGCGUGUGAGUGCCCACCUCCCCCGCACACGCGCACACACACACGCCCUAAGGCCACGGCAAUCCUAUUACAUAUAUAUAUAUAUACGUGCACACGCACGCACAAGGCACUGGAUAUACAUAUAUAUAUAUAUAUCUUCCGCUCCUCCGCGCUGUUGUUUGUUGUCAGGUAUUCUUUGACCACCGCCGCUGCCGCCCGCUCUCGCACUCGACUGUCGCUAUUUCUUUUUUCUUGUUCUCUAUUUGCCGGCUCUCCCUCCUUCCAUCCCUCCCCUCCCCCAACCCGUCCAGGUGCGGCGGCGACAGCAGCAGCAACAGCGCUCCUCUCCCCACUUCCCCCCUUCGCCUCCGUCUCCGGUCCUUCUUCGCCCUUUCGCACCUACGAAUACAUUCAUCGCUCGCGCUUCUCAAUAAAGCCGCUUGGCGCUCUCUGUGCCUGUGUGUGUUCGUGCUCGCUGCCGUCCCUCUCCCUUACUGUUGCUCCCAUCUUCUCUCACUUAAGCUCUGUAAGAGAGGCAGGGCCCGCCACACACACAGGCACACGUACAUACUCACCGUUCAGGCCUGCAUAAGCAAAAAAGGCUGUCGUCGUAUUGGCGACAGACGGCGCGAAGGCGAGGUUGAAAGACGCAACAGGCAGCAUUCGUUCUGCUUGUUGUGUCGCAUUUCUAGUCUUUUGAUACGUUUCUCUCGCUUUCUCUCUUUUGCCGGCCGCGAGCCAUCGACGACGCGUACUAAAGCGAGUGCGAGCGUGUGCGACAACAUAACCGCCCUCCCCACCCACCCACAGACACACACACACACACACAUACUACCCCACCCCACACUUUCACGCAAACUCAAACCUAUUAUCCGCAACUUCUCUUUUUCUGUGUUUUUUUUCUUGUCGUUGCGACUUCUCCUCACUUGCUCCCCUCCUCAAAGGCAUCCUCGCAUUCGAGAACGCACAGCACGCGCCGCUUCAUCUGUGAAUGAAGGAGGACGGAGGGACUGUGCCUUCUCUUUCUCUGCGUGUCCGCGUAAAAGGGGUAUCAUCGUCGUCGAAGCAGAGGAGCGGCGAAACAGAGCGGGAACGAGAGCACCUCGAGCAGAGGCGCUUGUGCGCGGACAGAGACACAGUACAUACACGUGCGUGAUCGGAGGUCUGGCCGCCUGGUGGUGAUACGACGUUAUUCGCAUCUCUUUUUAGUCUGUGGGCAGCGCUUUUUCUCUCUUGUCUGCGCACGGCGACCGCGACGACAGGCGACGCUCCGCCGCAUUUCGGCUCGUCCGAUUUCUCUAUUUUGAGCCGUCGACUUUGUUUUCGCUGUCGUGCGCUGCUGUAAAGAAACACAAACACAAGCCGUUGUAGCGAGCCCCCACCUACCCUGCCACGCUUUCUACACGAACGCGUCCGCCCGGCCUGCACCCACGCUCACACGCACUUCAUUGAUUUCGCUCUCUAUCCCUCUCUCCCCUUACCUUUUUUUUUCUUUUGAGCCCGCCGCCUAUUUCUGUUAUUCAAGCGUCUGUCUGCGUCCCGCCGUCUGCGUGUGUGUGUGUGUGUGUGUGUGUGUGUGCAAGCGUCUCUCUCUUUUCCGCUUUUCUCCGCCUCCCGGUCUACCUGACUAACACAAGCCCGCCUUAUCCAUGCGCAAGCGCGAGUGAUCUGGUGCGUGCGUGUGUGUGUGUUUGUGUGGGUUUCUCCUGUGUAGGCGGCGUUGCUCAUCUCUAUCUAUAUAUGUAUGCUCGUCCUCUCGCCCCCGUGCCCACCUCCGUGAAUUAGUCUCCUUACUGUGGCCUCAUCGUGCUUCUGCGCUUCCUCCUUUGUUCGCCCUUUUGUUGUUGUUUCGGCGACCUCUUCAGCCUCCGCCCCCCCCCACUCCGCCCACCACUCGCACGAAAGGGGAACCUCGACACGUCGUCGUCGUUUUUCUUUGCUGUUUCCGUGACUGUGUGUGUGUGCAUUCGUCAUCGUUGUGGUUGCGCUUGUUCUUCUCGCAGUCCUCCUUCGACGUUGCUCUCAGCCCCACCCACCCACACACACUUCAUUCAGGAGCACCAUCACGACGACUAUCACAACUAUCACCACCCCUGAACGCGGCGGCUUCUCUCUUUUCUUAUUUACCUUUGCAUCUGGAGUUGCUUUUUUUUUGUAUGGUUUUGCCUAUUGCGUGCGUGUGUGUGUGUGUGUGUGCUUUUCGUUUUUUUUUCGUCUCGCCUCAGCGCCAGCAACACGAAGGAGAGCGAGAGAGAGAGAGGGCGAGCGCAACACGACACGCCGAAGACGAAGAGAACUUACAGAAAGGGCGUAUCUGCUACACAGCCUAAAGUGCGGAUUUCAGUGUGGCAACAGCAAAGAGCUGCCGGCGCUCACACACGCAUUCACACAGACAGGCAGACAGAAGUGGAAGAGAGCUGCAGAACAACGUGCGAAGGGGAAAACGGAAGAAAACACGAAGAUUUACCUCCUCUCUCUCUGGCACUCCUACUCCGCUGUAGUGCCGCAACCCCUUCUGUGCGACGACUGCUUCAAGCGUUUUUUUUUUUUGUAAUUUUCUGUGGAUGUUUUUGGUGGCCUCUUCUAAGCUCUGUAGUCGCUGGAAGCAGGUGUGGUGACCGGGGAUCACGCAAGCGCGGGGAAGAAGGAAAUAGAACACGACAUUGCCCUUUUCUUCGCUUUCGCACAGUAUUUCUUGCGUGUACCCCCUUGAUUAACUUUUGUGGGCUUCUCUGUGUGGCUGCGUGCUCAGGUAGUUGUCCCUCUCCCUUACCCUUCAACACACACACGCGCACACCUGCUGCUGAUGCUGCUGCUGCUGCCCUCCCCCUUCAUCUAUAUAGUCUAGUGUAGAUCAGCUGAUCUCCUACCCUCUCCUCUCGGCAGCCAGCCUCACACACGUGCAAAGUCACGCGUCGACGCCAUUCAUUCUAUCGUUGUGUGUGUGUGUGUGUGUGUGUGUGUGUGUGUACUUGGCGUGCAUCUGUUUAGGUAUUUCUCUCCUUAGCUCCCUUAUCUCGCAUCUUUCUCGUGCGUUUUUGUUUGUUAAUCGCUCAUCGCCCACCGCCAUCCGAAACGCGCGCCCCUCCGUCUCCGUCUCCUUCCCGGUGGUUGGUUUGCCUGCUUUGCUGUGUGCGCUCGGCUUUGCCUCUUUUCUAUCUCGUGUCCAUCGAGCUCUUCCUAUAUCACUUUCCCCCUAUUACGCCGGCGAUUGCCUUGGCCUUGUGUAUGUGUGUACGUCGCUGUGGCACAGUGGGUAUUGUCGUUGUCGUGUCUCUUUUUUUAUCGCCGCACGUUGUGUGGUGCGCCCGACUCUCUCUCUUGCAUCGUGUGAAGCGAUUCCCCCCCCCCCCAAGUACUCGUGCAACGAAGCGGUGUAUAUUAUUAUCGUAGCGGUGCUAGUUGUCGGCUCUGCUGCUGCUGCCGCCGCCGUGUCUUGGUGGUGUCUUUCCUUCUUUUUGAGCGCGCAGCUCCCUGCUAGAACUAUUAUCAUUACUUUCAUCACGAUUUUUAUUGUCAUUGCUGUCGUCGACUUCUGCAUCGUCGUUGUCAUCCAGGGACGAGGGUGGAGUCCCCUUUUUGGCUCUACUCGGGACUGGACUCCCUGCCACACACGCACACACACAUCCCUCAAACACCAGCCCCCUCCCCUCCAUACCCUUCUGCUUCCUCUCACCUUGGGCUAGUGCGUAUGGUGCAUUCCUGGAGCAAUGGAUGAUAUCCCUGUUGAAUGCACGUCUUCGAUUGCGGCAGCGUCCAUCGGCACUCUUGGCACCUCGCCGCCCAUGAUCUGGGCUGCAGGGAACUCUGCGCCGAGAAGACAUGGGAGCCACAGCAGUAGUUGCACCAUGGCGAAGCAGCAACGGAUGCUCUCCCUCCCCUCCUCUCGUAGAGAAGAGUCCUACCAGCGAUCAGAAAGUACAACGCACGCCAGCAGCACAGCCGUGACGGCAACGGCCACGACCACAUCCGCGUUUACUUUGUCCAGCCCCCUCUGCGAUAUGGGCGUGACGCAGGGGUGCCGACAGUACAUCAGCAAUGAGUGCAAGGAAGAGAAGCGACAGUACUUUCUUCAGCAGCAGUGCCCGCAGCGCAUGUCGUGGGUGCGCAUCUGCGGCAGCGGAUUGUCAGCGAUGGCGUCGUUCGAUGAGUCUGCAGUCAACUCCCUGCGUGCCUCGCGCUCGCUCUUGAAUGUGAUCGCGGCGUCGAGCGGCAGCUGGGAGGAUCCUCGUGACUCACUCGCCUCCACCGGACAUGGCGGCGCUGGUCAGAGCACCAGUGGCAGUGACAGCACCGUCCCGCCGCAGGAUGCCAGCCUCAGCAGCAGUGGCAACAGCGUGGGCAUGGACAGCGAGGUUGUCCUGCAUCCCCCGGCGCGCUUCGGCCACACCGCCGUCCUUUACAAAGACUCCCAGAUUCUCAUCUUCGGCGGCAAGUCGAGCGAGGAGCACUACUUCAACGAUGUCUACCAAUACGACGCGUCGGCGCGGCGCUGGAGCUGCCUACAGGAAGAGUGCAUCGACGAGGUCGCGGCGGCGGCGGUGGGCGCCAGCGAGCAGGGAAGCGCCAGUCCGUCGUACGCGUCCGCGCCGCCUGCGUCGCCGUCCUUCUCCUCCCCGACCGCGUCCCCUCUGGCGUCGAUGCGAUGGGUCGAAGCAGCAAUAGUGGCGGUACCUCUUGCCGAAGCGGCAGCGACAGAUGCGCCUUCACCCUACUACAGCGGCUCUGCCAACAACAGCGGCAGCGAGGAGAGCAGCGCCACCCGGCGCUGCGCGGCCAGCGCGGGCAGCCGCCACGGCAGUACUUCCAGACAGUGCAACUCCCUCUCGGAGGCGGGGGUGAGACGGCGUCGGCGUCCCGCCGGACGAGUCGGCCACGCCGCUGCGCUGUACCAGGAUACGAUGUACAUCCUCAGUGGGGAGCAGCUGGGACGCUACUUUGAUGACUUGUGGGCGCUGGACAUUCCUAGCCUGACCUGGAACAAGGAGUGCGGACUGCCCUUCUCGCCGCGCAAGGGGCACACGAUGCACCUGCUCCCCGCCGACUUCACCGCCACCCGCGCCCGCCAAGACAUGCUGGUCGUGUUCGGCGGCCUCGUGAAGGCGUCGCGUGUGCGGCCGCGCCCUGCUGACCCGGAGCUGCCCACGCGCAACCAAGGCGACACGGACUUCGCCUGCGCACCGACGAACGCGGUGCUGCUCUACUACCCGACGCAGCGGCGAUGGUGUCAGCUGAAGACGUGCGGCGAGCAACCCUCCGCGCGCUUUUACCACGUCUCCCAGCUCGUCACCGGAACGGCGCUCCUGCUCGUGUUCGGCGGGCGCUCCGCCACUCCGGCGCAGACGGGUGACGGCACUGCUGCUGCCACUGAAGGUGCGUUUCUUAACGAUCUGCACAUCCUCGACGUGUCUACAGGGUUUUGGCGCCACAUCCGAGAUGUCACCGGCGAUAUCCCGUCGCCGCGCAUGUGCGCCGCGAGUGUUUUCGUGAACGAAACGUUUGGCGUGUUUGCCGGCGGCGGCGACACGUACUGCGAGGAUGCCUUUGAGUUUUCCCUGCAGAGCCGUCGGUGGCGGCGCCUGAAGCCGAACAACCAGCCGGCCUGCUCGCGCCCUACCGUCACCUACACGAAGGACCGCCUCGUCUUCUUUGGCGGUUUCGCACCACGGACUGGCGUCAUGAGCUGCACGAUGGAACUCUGCCUUUCCCCGCUGUCGCUCAAGAGCCAGUGCCUGCUGUGGUGGAGUCGAUGCGCCUUCGAGAAGCACAUCCGCUCCUGCACGAAGAGCCGCGCGGCGGAGAUGGAGGAUAAGGUGACUGUGGCAGCCGCGAUGGAGCGCAACGGGAGCGGCUGGUGCACCGGCUGUGGUGGGCAAGUGACGCUGCAGUGCAGCCCUGCUGCGACAGCUCACAGCAGCCCCAUCGCGACACCGCGAUCGUGGGGCGUCAGCCGUGGGUUCCGCCGCCCAGCUCCGCUGCGCGUGCCAAGCUUUGACCAAAGCGGCACGGUAUCAGCGGCAGCCCCGGCAUGGGGUGGAGGGCCGCCAGCGGCACAGUCGUCCGCCCGGGGCGCUCUAACGCUGUCCCCGACACCGUCGUACUCGCCGUCAUCGCCGGCUGUCUUCUCGCCUCUCGCAGGUGGCCCGAAGUUGACGCCGUCGUGGCAAGACGCAGCCGGCAGCAACACGAACCUCACAGGCGGCGGCACAGUCCAUGCGUCGGGCUGUGGUGGAACGGCGACGGUGCUCUGCUCGCCCGCCUCCGUUGCACCGCCGGCACAAAACCUUUUUCCCUCUCGCCCCGGCACGGUGAUGAGCUCGUCGUGCAGCCCCAGUCAGGCUGGGAGCCCGGCGACCGUUUCCGCUGCCGCCUCAACCUCACAGGCGCAUCUCUGGCCUAACAUGGCCCUUGGCAGCGUCGUGUGUGGCGGCGGAGGCGGCAGCAGCAGCAACACCGGCAGCGCUAUAGCGCACCCCCGCGGCAACGCUGCAGUCGCGAUGGCGGACGCAGACGUGAUGACGGGAGCCGCCGACGGCACGCGAUGGUGCUCCGCCCCGUCCCCCGCCGUCCCCCUCUCUCACUCGAUGGCAACCGCAUUGUUUUGCUCUGCGCCUUCACCUUCCCAUACGGCAGCCCCGGGCAGGUCGUCGCUUCCGCCGCCCGUGACCGCCACGGCGGAGCAGCCCGCGUCGGCGUGCUUCAUCGCUAACUGCGCUCGCCACCUCGGCGGCUACGUAGCGGCAUCCUUUCCCCGCCUCACCAGGUGCAGCUCAAAUCAAGCGCCUCCGCCAGCCCACGCCGGAGGGCCCUCACCAGCAGCGGCGGUCGUGAGCAGCGGGCGCAGGGGUGGCAGUGGAAGCUGGUGUUUCUCUCUGCAUAUGCGGUCACCGGCCAGUCCGUUGCAAGGGCGCGCGAUGCGCGUGGAUGCUACGCUUCCUGGUCCCUCGCCGUCCCCACAGCCAGCGUACGACUCCAGCGCUGGAGUCGUCGGGUACCGGCAGUCUUCGCCGUUCGUGCGCCGCUCCAACAGUAUCCCCAACGGCGGCGGUUCCGCCUUCGUCAUCCCUCAGCAGCAGCUGCACACGUCGACGCAGCUCGCCGAAUCCACCUCUAGCCGCGCCUCCUCGGCUCACAGCACGCGCUCGGCAUCGACGAUGUCGGCUGCCCAUCUUCCGAAUACCUACGCGAAGCAUACGAUCCAAAGGCUGGAGGGGAUGACCGGGCCAUACCUACUCCAGGCCCUGGCAGCCAGGUUGAAGCGGCAUGAGGCGGAGGCGAGCACGGACAAGCGGUCACUUUAGAGAAAGAGCGAGAGAGACCACGGGAGAGCAGGCGCUUCUCUGCGUGGCUCACUGCUGCACGGCCACUCUACUUGUAUGCGUCCGUCGUAGAAGAAGAGGAAUGGUGGUGUAGGACAUGCACGACAGCCGUCAUGGCAACAAAGCCUGCCGUGCUCAUCCUCCUGCACCCUCCCUCCUUCUUCUUUCGCAUGCCUCUCUUGCUCUCUAUCGCACUCUUGGCGUGUGUUUUGUGGCAACUGUCUCCAGGAGGAUGCGGCGUAUGUGCGGUGCCUUUAUGUGUUGUCGGUCGUGAUCACCUCUUUAUGUCUCUGUGUGUGUGUCUCUUCUCCCACGGAGAGGGGCAUGUGUGCCUUUAUGCUGGUCUGGGAGUGGGUGGUCGUUGGCAUCUCCGCGAGGUACUCACAGCACACCAUCACCCUGGGCAAAUGAAUACGCACAUGCACACCCGCCAUGCGCACGCCACAUCGCUAUCCGCCCGGUUCGCACUUCUAUUUUCGCUCUAUUACGACCUCUACCCCCUCAUCCCCCCCCCCCCGACACACACUCCCUCUUCACCUCCCGUUCACCCUCACCCUCACCUGCACCCCCCCCCACCCCACCCAUCUCACCCAUCUCACCCGACAAUACGGGGGAGGGGGGAUGAUGGGGUACUAUGAGGUAUGGGGAGGGGGGGCACCAAAAACAAAAAGGUGAAUGAGCUAGGAGAUUCAAAGGACCUCAGUCACACACGCACAGGCACGCCUAUGUGUGGGUACGUGUUCGACUGAGGCUCGUCUUGUAUUGCGUGAGCAGAUGUGUGCGUGUACGCUUUCAUGUCUUCUCUGUGUACCUCGACUUCUUUACCCCUUUCCUC